RNAcentral lists this long non-coding RNA (9380 nucleotides) under Sorghum bicolor (sorghum). RNAcentral's name for it is "long non-coding RNA (SBIC_LNC008373)". Lineage: Eukaryota; Viridiplantae; Streptophyta; Magnoliopsida; Poales; Poaceae. The record is from RNAcentral.
AGUGGUUAAAAGAUAGAAUAGUCUAGUCAAGUGCCAUGUCUCUUAUUCUUUAUCAGCUAUAGCUCUGGAGUUUUUGCAGAUUUCCAAAUAAAACUCAGAGAUUCCUUAUAUGACUCUCUCAAAUCUCUAUUUUGUGGUAUUUUUGGAUCCUUACCAAGGCAGUGAUGGUAUAUGCCUUCUCUCUCACCCUACUCUAAUAAGGCUUUAAUAUCUGGAACUCAUAGGUGGGAGAUAUACAUACUUACAAGACAUUGAUUGUAUAGUCAAACCAUGGAUCUAAAGAAACAAAUCAAUAAGCCAAAUCAAGAUGUGCAUGUGUGGCGAAUGAAUGGUGUAUGGUGAUGAUGGUGAUAACAAUGGUGAAAGUCUAAUUCUACUUUUGCUCUUUUGAGGGAAUACAUACCUUCCUUGCUUUUUGAAACUUUAUGAAGAGAAUGAGAUGAUCUUCUUUUUCUUUCCUCUCAGGUGGGUAUCUUGUACCCCUAAUUCUACUAUCGGACACUUGUCCAUUUUUACCUUUCGUCUCACUCUUUUUCUUUUCUUUUGAGGUUCCGGGCACUUGCCCCUUUUUAUUUCCUCGUAUUUUUCUCUUUUUUCUUAGAGCACUCAUCUCUUGAGAUAAUAUAGCAAGUGGUAGUAACAAGAUAACUUGAGCAUUUAUUUCACAAGGGAAAAAUAGAAAUGUUUUUGGCUAUUCUCUCCCGGAUUAGGAGUAGAAUAUUUUUAGGUGAUUCUGGAGAUGGAAAUGAGUGGAUAUAUGUGGAUGGUACUUCUGGAGUAGAAGUGGCAUAUAUGAGUGAACGUGCAAGUGAAUUCUUGAUUUAACCACAUGACAAGCUCCUAAGGGUCUACACAGCUUGACCACACUCAAUGCUCAUAAGCAGUAAAUAGUAAAUGUGUGGUGCAAAGUCUAGCAAGCAUCUAUAUAUGGCUGUGGUAGGAAUUUAAACUCUCAUCAUACAGGAACUCAUCAUGCAACAUUUUAAAGAUUUUCAAAGAUAAAAUUCUCCAGAAUUCUAGCAUCUCUAGGAACAGAUAAACAGCAGCUCAACCUUCCCAUAUCAUAUCCGUUAACAACUUAGACUUCAGAUCAAGUUUUCAUUCCACAAGUUUAGGUCUAGAGCAAGCUUGAAAUUAUAACAGUUAUAUCUAAACUUGAGAGAGAACUUAAAAUGUGCAAAUUAGGCUGAGCAACUAUUCAUCAUAUCCAUGCUAGAGUUUUAUUUAGAUACAGAUUAGCAUAGCCACUUUAUUUAUUUAUUAAACACACUAAGCAAAAGGCAAAUAUAUAAGCAAAAAAUCUUUAUUUGGUUUUUCAUAGUUAUAUUUUAUUAUAAUAUAAGUAUAAAGAUAGAUAGAUAGAAAUACUUAUCGGGAUAAAUGGGGGUGCUCUCCCCCAAGCUGAAUUUUGACGUAAUUUCCCUUGAUGUAGCUAGCAGGUGGAAGAGGUGUAUUUGAAAGUCAGCAGCAUUCUGACAGCGAUUAGAAUGUCCUCCGUCUGCUAGUCUUCUUGAUUCUUGAAUUCUGUGGAGCUCAAAUAGAUAACAAAGCUUUGUGGAACUGAUUAAGUGUUAGCAUAAAUAUCUAGCCUUUAUCAUGUUGAGACUCCUUAAUAAUUAUUGCUCCCAAUUUUUUUUAUAUUUUCAUUUUAUAAAGUAGAAAGGAAAUAUUUAUUUUAUUUUUAUGCCACCACAGUGAAUGUACUUAUGAGUUUUAUGCCACUCGUAUACUCACAUGGGCUUACUGUUUUUCAUUUUUAUUUUCUUUUUAGGAUAGUACGAACCUGAUUAACUAAGUAAACUAUUUUAAAUAAUUGAAAGGGGAAGGAUAACUACCAAGUUUACCUCUUGGCAAGGCGUUCGGUGUUUUUAAGUCCUCCGAACGGGACUCUUCUCUUCCUCAAUUGUCGUGGGAUUCGUUGGGUGGCGUAGUCGGUACUUCCGGCAGCGCCUUGUUGACGGUCCUUAAGUACCAAAUAUAAUCAUCAAAUAAAUAAAGAAAAAGAUCCAAAUGCAACCAACACCUAGACUUAGGGUUUUAUCUGACAGAAUUCCACGAGUUUUGGUGUUUGUCUAUUUCUGCAGGGGGUUAUCAGGAAAUACGAAAGAAAGGCCCACAUGUCGGGAUUACAUAGAGAUAUCAACGCACCGCGCAACUUUCUACCAUCUAGAAGACUACAGAAGCCACGGGAAGAAAGUAGAGGCCGAAAGGGGCCAGGCCCAGGGCGCCCGCCCUCUUUCCCUGGGCGCCCGCCUUGUCCUGGACUCCGUUCGGGACUCUCUUCGCACACGAUGUUCCACCGACCUAAAGGAUGAAGGAUAACGUAGUACCACAUCGCCUACCGACCCAAAAACAUAUACAGGAGGAGAACUAUAUAAGGAGACCCCCUGGCCCCUGGAGAAGACAAGAAGUUAUCAUAGAGUUGAGGGGUGCCCUCGAAGGAAAACCUCUUCUCUAAAUAAUAUUUCUUUUUAGGCUUAGCAUCCAAUGUAAAGUAGAAAUAGAUCUUCUAGUUUCUACUAGAUUGAGAGAGAGAGUGGAGGUGUAGAUCGGAGGAAGGCCGGCCUGUCGGUGUCUACUCCGAGUUGUACCUGCGGGAUCAAGUCUUCUAACCCGAGGCUUGCUCCUAAGAUUCUUCAGUAAUUCGACUUCUAAUUCUAUGUAAGUUCUUGUUUUAUUGUUCUUUGGUUUAUGAGUUUACUUUAAUCCUCUUCUGGUUGAGUAUUAGAGUAAUCAUUGCUAGCGUAAACGUGGUGUUUAGGCUAGGGUACUCAUAGAUAUCCCCUGACUAGAUGGACCGUGGUAGUAGCGAGGAACGUGACAUUUCCGAGUUACCUUUUCAUCCCAUAUCUUGUGAGAAGGAUGGGUAGGGUUUAUAGGUGCGGGUCGAACAUCCUUUGUGGUGUCUAGAUACCGUAAGCUUCCCAAUAGAAUAGUAGAUCAUCCUUACCAAGGUUAGAACGAGACUACGGUUGCAGUCUUCUCUAUACAUCACUCACUUCGAGAAACAUUCUUUGUAGCUUAAAGGGGUAGUAGCAAUAGAUUUUGUUAGUCGGAUGCACCCUUUCUCCCAGUGGUAAAAAUAUAAAUACGGUAACUCUGGAUAACCUCCCGGGUGAAAUGCUCACCGAUAUCCGUGCGCUUGCGGAUCAUUUCCUGAUUGCGUUACCAAAUAUCAACAAGCAUUUCUGGCACCGUUGCCGGGGAGAAAGACGGUUUGCUGAGAUAACUUUGAGUCUUGCUAUUAUCUUGUAUUAUACUUUUAUACUUUUAUUCUUUUAUCUGUUUAUUUUUAUCUUUAUGGAUAACUCAAAUUCCAUACCUAUUAUUAAAUUCUUUGCACCUUCGGAGACCAGCCAUAGACCAUGGGAGUCAACGCGUCCUGCCCCUAAUUAUGAUCUGUGUCCGGAGUUGAUUGCAAUAGGUCAAAACCAACCCUUUUCUAUAGCUGAGGUCCUAUCUUUUAAUCAACAAGAUAAUGAACUUUUAGCUACACCUAGGGAAUCUCUUAAUUUUUCUAUAAAUUCUGGUUUAAACCUAGCCCUACAAGACCAUGUUUUUUCUCGAUAUUUUCACAUUGGUCUUAAUCAUAUAACCUUUGGUAGAGUCUUUCUUUCUUUAUCUAUUAGUAAAGGAAGGUAUGUCUUCAAUGGUGGACAUCCUUCUUGCACUAGUCUUCAUAAAAAAUUCCUAGAGAUAGAGAAAGAAUCAUCUUCCAGACAAGGAAAGGAAGUUUCAAUAGCCGAUUUCUAAACAUUUCAAUCCCAUGAUUCGGCUAUCCAACCCAUCCUUGAGCCUAAUAAUUUCUCUUAUGCUCUUUCUCUUGAACCUCCCGAUGAUCCUAUGAAUCUCUCUAGACAUCCCAUUCAUAAGAGUCACCAAGACCACAAGGAGGAUCGAGAAGAGCAACAUCAAUGGCUAGAGGGCAUUAAAAAUCCAUGUGCCAUCACCACAUUUGAGAUCUCCAACCCUCUCUUCCUUUCUAUUUAUAAAAUCUUUAAAAGGGCGGUUGUCGAUGCAUAUGUCUAUAAUAAAUAUUGCAGAUCUCGUUGAGUUGAUUGAAGGUUUCCCAAGGACAAGCUUAGUGUCUUAAAAUAAGCACCGAUCAGAUCGUAACAUGAACUUUUAAUUAUUUGCAACAUUGCCUUGUGUAUUGAGCAUAUAAAGAUAAUUUUAAAAAUAUUCCUUCGGGUAUUCUUAUCACUAACCUUUCCAGGAUUGGAGCAAGAAGAUCGGAUGAAUGACAAGCACAAGGUAUGUCCAACCAACCAUCAUACAACAUGGAAUUAAAUUCAUCCAAACUUGAAUUUCACAAAAUUCAAGCUUGGGGGAGUACUUGACAUAAAAACAUCCUUUGCCAUGUUUCUAUGUUGGUUGUCCCUACCUUUGAGAGAUGCUCAAUUUGUUAAGUACUAAUCACACUACUUCAUCUCCACUUGAGUAGAUCUCUAUAAGUGUUGUCAUGCUACCUUUAUCUAUUUACUAGCAAGUGUUGGUUUAGAAGUACUCGACAUACUUCCAUUGGCAUUUACAUUAAGCAUGGUGCUUAGGUUCAAUAGCCUUCCUUAAUCUGAUUAGACAUGGAGUCUAGUUUGGUUACUGAACUAAAAACUGCUUGAGUAGAUAUUGGUAUAUUUUGUGGGACUAACCCCUGCAGAAAAACUUUCAAUAUCAACCUGGGAAGUCCUGAGAUAAACUCACAUUGGAGAUGAAGAAAGUGAAACAUGAAGUUUAACAAUUUGCACAAGAAAGACGUAGCUCAUAAGAGAUGAUCCAUGAAGAGUGCCACAAACACGAUGCACAACCGCUAAGAAAGAAAAGCUUCCACUCUUCAAGUAAGGUAACAUCUUAAGGUACUUGACUAUUGCUUUUAUAAGCUUCUCCUUGGUUCUGGCAUUCACAUAAAUAAAGAGACAAACAUGUAUGAUUUAUAACUCUAAAUUAACCAACCUAACGGAUUCAGCAUGUUUAGUCCUUUAAUCUUUGUUCUUAGUACUACCUUCGUGAUCCCACACUCCUAAUCAUAUAAGCUAAUAUGUUGCACAUUCAAUAUUUGGAAGAUAUAAACAAAACAUAAAUAUAGAUAGAUUAUCUUUCCAUUAGGUUGAGCCAUCUGAUCUGACAAAUGCUACACUCAUGAACUUAUCACCCAUCAACUUUGUCUUGCUCACUAUGCUUAAGGUUAGAGAAGAACAAAUACACUUUUGGUUCUGUUGGUGUUUUUCACCAACAGGGCCCAUGCACUUGAUCUCUGUCUUGUCUCUAUGAGCAGGUACACUUCAAGCAAAAUAUGAAGGAGUUUUACAACUCCCAGACUCCACCAAGUGAAGAACCAGGAUCUACGAGCACAAACACACUGGAGAUACUGGACGCUCAGGCAAUCACUGCCCUGAGAUGCUUGAGGACGUGAACUACAUCAACAACAAUAACAACUAUUACUACAACCGUCCUCAACAACAUCAAGGUUGGAAUCAACAGAGGCCUAAUUACUCAAAUAGGUGAUCCAGGACGCCCCGUCAUCCCGAUCUCCAUCGGCAUGGUGGACUUCCCAGAAGCACUCUGUGACUUUGGCUCCAGCGUCAACAUUAUGCCCAGGGUUGCAGAUCGGACACUCAGUUUCCCAAAGGAAAUAUUGAAGAACCUCUGCGUCCGAGUUGGUACCUUGUACACUCUAGCAGACUUCGUGGUGAUAGAGACUGGUACUGAGGAGAGGGCACCCAUCAUCUUAGGGAGGCCAUUCCUAAACACCAGAGCUGUCAUCUACGUUAAUGCUGCCAAGAUCAGUUUCUACAUCAAGGGGAAGAAGGAGACUUUCCUUCAAGAACAAGACUACACAAAUUUCAGAGCAAUCCCGACACGAACCAAGGAAGAGGACCAACAGGAGGAACAGGAACAAGCAAAUGUGGACCGAGUCAGCUAAGAUGAUCACUGCAGUUCAAAGAUGUCAAAAUCGUCGACUCAAGUCGCCUUUCCUGAUCAAGAAGGACGACCCUGGUGUUCCAAGCAUCGAGUGCACAAUCAAUGGAUACUCUUUUCAGAAGACACUCUACGACACCGGAUCUGACGUCAACAUAAUGGCCGCAGUCACUUAUCAGCUCCUGCAUGAAACCAUGCCCCUACAACCAAUAUAUAUUCAGCUCCAGAUGAUUUUCAGAUCAUUGACAUGGGAGAAGACGAGUACGAUCCACCCAUCAUCCUUGGAAGACCUUUCCUCAACACUAUCAAAAUUAUCAUCUACAUUGGAAUUAGAGAAGUCCACGUGUACUUCCUGAGAAGGUACACCGCUAUUUUACUGACUCUAACUAUAUAGUUGAAGACUCUAAGCAGGUCAGGACAAGAAGAAGACAACGCAACCGCAACCAGAGGAGGCAAAUCAUCAAGGACGGAUGGGUAGACUACGAAGGAGAAGUGAUAAGGUUUGAAGACAUAUAGUUUGAACAGAACUGUCCUGAGGAGACCGUAGCACCGAGUCAGGUGUGGAGAGAGAAGAUAGUUACACACGAAGAGGAGGCGCCGCCGGAACCACCGACUACGCCACCCAGCGAAUCCCAGGACGACUAAGAAAACGGAGAGUCCCGUUCGGAGGACUUAAAAAUACCGAACACCUUGCCAAGAGGUAAACUUGGUAGUUAUCCUUUUCCAUUCAAUAGUUUGCUUAGAUAAUCAGGUUCAUGCUAUCUUGAAAAGAAAACAAAAAUGUUAAAAAAAUAGUAAGCCCCAUGUGAGUAUGCUCAUGGAAUAAAACCCAUAAGUACAUUCACUGUGGUGGCAUAAAAAUAAAAUAAAUAAGUUUUCAUCUUACAAUAAAAAUAUAAAAAUAAUAAGUGCAUGAUCCUGCUAAAUAAGUAAUAUUUGUUGAUGAGGCUCAACAUGAUAAAGGCUAGAUAUUUAUGCUAACACUUAACCAGUUCCACAAAGCUUUGUUGUCUAUUUGAGCUCCACAGGAUUCAAGGAUCAAAAAAGACUAGUAGACGGAGGACGUCCUAAUCGCUGUCAGGGUGCUGCCGACUUUCAAAUACACCUCCACCCUGCUAGCUACAUCAGAAGAAAUUACGUCAAAAUCCAGCUUGGGGGAGAGCACCCCCAUUUAUCCAGCUAAGUGUUUCUACUCGCAUUUAUACUCAAAUAAUAAAAGAUGUAUAAUCAUGAAAACCCAAAUAAAGAUUUUGUGCUUUUAUAUAUCUUUGCUUAGUUUGCUAAAUAAAUAAAUAAAUAAAGUUUACUAUGAACCCUCAUGAUAAGCUCUCACAUGGAAAUGAUGAAUAGUUGCUCUGCCAUGACUAGUUCUUAAAAUUGAAAUCUCUCUCAAGUUUAGGCAUAACUGUUAUGAAUUAAGAUUUGCUCUAAACCUGAACUUGUGGGAAGAGUACUUGAUCUAAAGUCUAAGUCGUUAACGGAUAUGAUAUGGGAAGGUUGAGCUGCUGUUUAUCUGUUUCUAGAGAUGCUAGAAUUCUGGAGAAUUUUAUCUUUGAAAAUCUUUAAAAUAACACAUGAUGAGUUCCUGUAUGAUGAGAGUUUAAAAUGCUACCACAGCCACAUAUACAUGCUUAUUAGACUAUGAACCAUAUAUUUACUUUUUACUGCUUAUGAGCAUUGAGUGUGGUCAAGCUGUGUAGACCCUUAGGAGCUUGUCAUGUGGUUAAAAUCAAGAUUCACUUGCAUGUUCACUCGUAUAUGCUGCUUCUAUUCCGGAAGUACGCAUCCACAUACAUCCACUCAUUUCCAUCUCCAGAGUCACCCAAAAUUAUUCUACUCCUAAUCCGGGAGAGAAUAGCCAAAAAACAUUUUCCUAUCCCUGUUAUUCCCUGUGAAAUAAAUGCUCCAGUUAUUUUGGUUACUACCACUUGCUACAUUAUUUCAAGAGAUGAGUGCUCUAAAAAAAGAAGAAAAAAAAUAAUAAUAUACGAGGAAAUAAAAAGGGGCAAGUGCCCGGAACCUCGAAGAAAAGAAAAAGUGAGACGAGAGGUAAAAAUGGACAAGUGUCCGACAGUAGAAUUAGGGGUACAAGAUACCCACCUAAGAGGAAAGAAAAAGAAAAUAUAGAGCAUCUCAUUCUCCUCAAAAAGCUUCAAAGUGCAAGAAAGGUAUGUAUCCCCUUAAAAGAGCAAAAGUAGAAUUAGACUUUCACCAUUGUUAUCACCAUCAUCACCAUACACCAUUCAUUCGCCACACAUGCACAUCUUGAUUUGACUUAUUGACUUGUUUCUCUGGAUCCAUGGUUUGACUAUGCAAUAAAUGUCUUGUAAGUAUGUAUUAGCUGUCUCCCACCUAUGAGCUCCAGAUAUCAAAACUUUAUUAGAGUAGGGUGAGAGAGAAGGCAAUGUCACUAUGUCUCAUACCAGAAAUACCACAUACUUUGAGAGAAGGCAUAUACCAUUACUGCCUUGGUAAGGAUCCAUAAAUACCACAAAAGAGAGAUAUAAGAGAGUCAUACAAGGAAUCUCUGAGUUUUAUUUGAAAAUCUGCAAAAACUCCAAAGCUAUAGCUGAUCAAGAAUAAGAGACAUGGCACUUGACUAGACUGUUCUAUCUUUUAACUGCUCAAGACACAAGUGACGGUUACAAGCCCCAUGGUGAAAGGUAAAAUGAGUAAGUUUUAAGUCUUAACAGUUUAUUCUAACUCAGAGAUGAGAUCUUGCUUGAAUGGGUGUGUAUUUUUAAGGCAUGAAACCACUGCAGAAACUCUUGAGUUCAUCCUUGCUCGGGGACGAGCAAGAGGUAAGCUUGGGGGAGUUGUUGACGGUCCUUAAGUACCAAAUAUAAUCAUCAAAUAAAUAAAGAAAAGGAUCCAAAUACAACCAACACCUAGACUUAGGGUUUUAUCUGACAGAAUUCCACGAGUUUUGGUGUUUGUCUAUUUCUGCAGGGGGUUAUCAGGAAAUACGAAAGAAAGGCCCACAUGUCGGGAUUACAUAGAGAUAUCAAUGCACCGCACAAUUUUCUACCAUCUAGAAGACUCCAGAAGCCACGAGAAGAAAGCAGAGGCCGAAAGGGGCCAGGCCCAGGGCGCCCGCCCUCUUUCCCCAGGCGCCCGCCCUGUCCUGGACUCUGUUCGGGACUCUCUUCGCACACGAUGUUCCACCGACCUAAAGGAUCAAGGAUAACGUAGUACCAAAUCGCCUACCGACCCAAAAACGCAUAGAGGAGGAGGACUAUAUAAGGAGACCCCCCUGGCCCCUGGAGAAGACAAGAAGUUAUCAUAGAGUUGAGGGGUUCCCUCGAAGGAAAACCUCUUCUCUAAAUAAUAUUUCUUUUUAGGCUUAGCAUCCAAUGUAAAGUAGAAAUAGAUCCUCUAGUUUCUACUAGAUUGAGAGAGAUAGAGUGGAGGUGUAGAUCGGAGGAAGGCCGGCCUUUCGGUGUCUACUCCGAGUUGUACCUGCG